This 442-nucleotide ribosomal RNA is filed under the name uncultured bacterium. RNAcentral's name for it is "partial 16S ribosomal RNA". It matches the Rfam family "Bacterial small subunit ribosomal RNA", at positions 338 to 795 of the family's 1533-position model. The record is from RNAcentral.
CCUACGGGGGGCAGCAGUAGGGAAUCUUUCACAAUGGGCGAAAGCCUGAUGGAGCAACGCCGCGUGCAGGAUGAAGGCCUUCGGGUUGUAAACUGCUUUUAUAAGCGAGAAAUAUGAUGGUAACUUAUGAAUAAGGAUCGGCUAACUACGUGCCAGCAGCCGCGGUCAUACGUAGGAUCCGAGCAUUAUCCGGAGUGACUGGGUGUAAAGAGUUGCGUAGGUGGCAUAAUAAGUAGCUAGUGAAAUCUGGUGGCUCAACCAUUCAGACUAUUAGCUAAACUGUUAAGCUCGAGACCGUUAGGGGUAACUGGAAUUUCUAGUGUAGGAGUGAAAUCCGGAGAUAUUAGAAGGAACACCAAUAGCGUAGGCAGGUUGCUGGGACGGUUCUGACACUAAGGCACGAAAGCGUAGGGAGCAAACGGGAUUAGAUACCCCAGUAGUC